Ipomoea nil (Japanese morning glory) is the source of this 248-nucleotide long non-coding RNA. RefSeq lists it as uncharacterized. NCBI's taxonomy places the organism in Eukaryota, Viridiplantae, Streptophyta, Magnoliopsida, Solanales, Convolvulaceae. The transcript has 3 exons. The record is from RefSeq and is a predicted model, not a curated record.
AAAUUAUACUCCCUCAGUCCCGUAAUGGUUGUCUUGUUUUCUUUUUGCACGAAAUUUAAGGGAGCAAAGUAAAAGUUGUUUGUUUUCCAGUUUUGCCCCUUUUUAUUUUCUCUCACCAACCACGUACUCAAGAACCCACUAGAACACUGCACACUAUACACUUCUUCUCUCUCUUUGUUUCUAUUUCUCUGGUUCUAGUUCUCUCUCCAGAUAAGAAUUCUAAAAUUCUCUACAAUGAAAAUUUUAAU